CGCGGAUGGAGAGGGACUUUGAGCCCC
This 27-nucleotide small RNA is filed under the name Bombyx mori (domestic silkworm). Its description in RNAcentral is "ovarian small RNA-14394". The record is from RNAcentral. Lineage: Eukaryota; Metazoa; Arthropoda; Insecta; Lepidoptera; Bombycidae.